This 439-nucleotide ribosomal RNA is filed under the name uncultured bacterium. RNAcentral describes it as "partial 16S ribosomal RNA". It matches the Rfam family "Bacterial small subunit ribosomal RNA", at positions 339 to 795 of the family's 1533-position model. The record is from RNAcentral.
CUACGGGCGGCAGCAGUGAGGAAUAUUGCACAAUGGGGGGAACCCUGAUGCAGCAACGCCGCGUGGAGGAUGACGCAUUUCGGUGUGUAAACUCCUUUUAUAUGUCAAGAAAAUGACGGUAGCAUAUGAAUAAGCACCGGCUAACUCCGUGCCAGCAGCCGUGGUAAUACGGAGGGUGCAAGCGUUACUCGGAAUCACUGGGCGUAAAGGACGCGUAGGCGGGUUGGAAAGUCAGGUGUGAAAUCCUACAGCUUAACUGUAGAACUGCACUUGAAACUUCUAAUCUAGAGUAUGGGAGGGGGAGAUGGAAUUAGUGGUGUAGGGGUAAAAUCCGUAGAUACCACUAGGAAUACCUAAAGCGAAGGCGAUCUCCUGGAACAUUACUGACGCUAAGGCGUGAAAGCGUGGGGAGCAAACAGGAUUAGAUACCCUGGUAGUC